UACGUAGGUGACCAGCGUUGUCCGGAUUUACUGGGCGUAAAGAGCGCGCAGGCGGUCGUUCAAGUCGAGUGUGAAAGCCCCCCGGCUCAACUGGGGAGGGUCAUUCGAUACUGAUCGACUCGAAGGCAGGAGAGGGAAGCGGAAUUCCCGGUGUAGUGGUGAAAUGCGCAGAUAUCAGGAGGAACACCAAUGGCGAAGGCAGCACUCUGGGACGUGACUGACGCUGAGACGCGAAAGCGUGGGGAGCAAACAGG
This 254-nucleotide ribosomal RNA is filed under the name uncultured bacterium. RNAcentral's name for it is "partial 16S ribosomal RNA". It matches the Rfam family "Bacterial small subunit ribosomal RNA", at positions 524 to 776 of the family's 1533-position model. The record is from RNAcentral.